This is an RNA transcript of Trachemys scripta elegans, 2606 nucleotides long. It is a transcript of the gene named probable E3 ubiquitin-protein ligase MID2, with no coding region annotated. NCBI's taxonomy places the organism in Eukaryota, Metazoa, Chordata, Testudines, Emydidae. The record is from RefSeq and is a predicted model, not a curated record. The transcript is spliced from 9 exons.
GGGGAGGCGGGGCAGGAGGCGGCGCGGCUCUGCCCUGCCUCCCUGCUCGUCGCCGCUCGCUCCCCGGCCGGCGCUGUGUCUUCUGCGCCUCCAAGAUGAGCGGGCAGCGGCGAGGCGGCUGCCGGAACCCGCUGGUAUCUGACCAGCUUCCCUGGUUUUUGAUGCUGAAGCAGGAUUGUUUUAACUAAAGAUGGAAACACUGGAGUCGGAAUUGACCUGUCCAAUCUGCUUGGAGUUAUUCGAAGACCCUCUGUUGCUGCCGUGUGCUCACAGCCUGUGCUUCAGUUGUGCCCAUCGCAUCCUGGUGUCCAGCUGCUCCUCCAGUGAGUCAAUAGAGCCCAUCACAGCAUUCCAGUGCCCUACCUGCAGGUAUGUCAUCUCCCUUAACCACCGCGGCCUAGAGGGCCUCAAGCGGAAUGUGACCCUGCAGAACAUUAUAGAUCGCUUCCAAAAGGCUUCUCUGAGUGGCCCCAACUCCCCUAGCGAGAGCCGCCGAGAGAGAACGUACCGCAAGAGCCCUGCCAUGUCCAGUGAAAGGAUAGCGUGUCAGUUCUGUGAGCAGGACCCACCGCGGGAUGCGGUGAAGACCUGCAUAACUUGCGAGGUGUCCUACUGUGACCGCUGUCUCCGGGCCACGCACCCCAACAAGAAGCCGUUCACCAGCCACCGCCUGGUGGAGCCCGUGCCGGACACACACUUCCGAGGACUCACUUGUUUGGAGCACGAGAACGAGAAAGUGAACAUGUACUGUGUUGCGGACGACCAGUUGAUCUGUGCCUUAUGCAAACUGGUGGGACGCCACCGGGACCACCAGGUGGCGUCGCUGAGUGAUCGAUUUGAGAAGCUCAAGCAAACCCUGGAGACGAACCUCACCAACCUGGUUAAACGCAAUAGUGAACUAGAAAACCAGAUGGCCAAGCUGAUACAGAUCUGCCAGCAGGUGGAGGUGAACACAGCCAUGCAUGAGGCCAAGCUGAUGGAGGAGUGUGAUGAGCUCAUGGAGAUCAUCCGGCAGCGCAAGCAAGUGAUCGCUGUCAAGAUCAAGGAGACGAAGGUUAUGAAGCUGAGGAAGCUGGCCCAGCAGGUAGCUAACUGUCGGCAGUGCCUAGAGCGCUCCACAGUCCUCAUCAAUCAAGCGGAACAUAUCCUGAAAGAGAACGACCAUGCACGGUUCCUGCAGACUGCCAGGAACGUGGCCGAGAGGGUCGCCAUGGCAACUGCAUCCUCUCAAGUGCUGAUACCAGAUAUCAAUUUUAACGAUGCCUUUGAAAACUUUGCUUUAGAUUUUUCCAGAGAAAAGAAACUGCUGGAGGGUCUGGAUUAUCUAACAGCACCCAAUCCACCAUCUGUCCGAGAGGAGCUUUGUACAGCUUCCCAUGACACCAUUACAGUCCAUUGGAUCUCGGAGGAUGAGUUCAGUGUCAGCUCCUAUGAGCUCCAGUACACCAUCUUCACCGGCCAGGCCAACUUCAUCAGUGCAUCCCCAAAUCUGUGCCUCUGACCAGGCCAACGCAGCCCUGAUAAUCAGCCUGCUGACAGGAGAUGCAUUAGACUGGGCCUCCCCUUUGCUGGAAGACCAUAGCCCGGUGCUGUUGGACUGGGAUGCUUUUCUCCAGUUGAUGUCAACCAUCUUCGAUGACCUGCACUGAGCACAAGCAGCCGAGGCAGCCCUGAGAGGGCUGCGGCAGGGGCCAGGCAUGAGGGCCUCCUAUGCAGCACUCUUCCGCCACCCUACAGCACAUACGGAGUGGAAUGAAGCAGCGCAGCCAUACCAGCUCUGAUGGAGCUUUCAGGAAGAAAUCAAAAAUGAACUGGUCCAUGUAGAGAUGACAGCAGGCCUAGAUGCCUUUGUGGACCUUACCAUACGCAUGGAUAAUCAGCUGUGAGAACAAAGGGAGGAGAAAGCGGUUGCCUGCAACCUCCCUUACUAUGGACCAUGACCCCAGCUUCUGUAUCACCUGCCGAACCCAUGCAAGCCAAUCUGCCUGACCAGCGACUCACACCUGAAGAAAAGGAACGACGCCGUCAGCACCACUUGGGCUUCUACUGUGGUGAAACUGGCCAUGCCAUCUCAGCCUGCCCAGUACGAAUGCCAAAGAGCCUGGGGACCAAGCCGACCCAGGACCGGUGUGGGGAGCCAGCAUGGACUUUGAAAGAAGAGAACUUCCCCAUACCCUAGUCCUCACUGAGCUGCACGCUGAGCCCCAUACACAGGCUUCCCCUUUGCAGGUGCCUAUCAAGCUGUGCAUACCGGGGGACCCUGACAGAUUCCCCCUCCACCAGGCCCUCAUCAAUUUGGGAGCAGUGGACAAUUUCAUGGAUGCAGCUACAGCUCAGACUCUAAAGCUCCUCCUGCUACACAAGGCCAUGCCCUUGAUCCAGUUGAGGAGGAGACUGUCCUCCUGGAGGCUGUUAUUCAGGAACACAGAGAAAUGAUGCAAUUCAGUGAGAUCCAUGUCCCACAUUUUCCCCUGAUCCUGGGCAUCUAUUGACUGACCCUUCAUGACACCCUCAUUCACUGGUCUGUACAACUCUAUGGAUAGCUGGAUGAUUGUCCCCAACAUCAAACAGAACCACUACACCGUGCACGGGCUCCAGAGUGGCAC